CCAGACUCCUACGGGAGGCAGCAGUGAGGAAUAUUGGUCAAUGGCCGCAGGGCUGAACCAGCCAAGUCGCGUGAGGGAUGACGGUCCUAUGGAUUGUAAACCUCUUUUGUCAGGGGGCAAAGGGCGCCACGUGUGGCGUUUUGCGAGUACCUGAAGAAAAAGCAUCGGCUAACUCCGUGCCAGCAGCCGCGGUAAUACGGAGGAUGCGAGCGUUAUCCGGAUUUAUUGGGUUUAAAGGGUGCGUAGGCGGGCUGUUAAGUCAGCGGUCAAAUGUCGGGGCUCACCCCCGGCCUGCCGUUGAAACUGGCGGCCUCGAGUGGGCGAGAAGUAUGCGGAAUGCGUGGUGUAGCGGUGAAAUGCUUAGAUAUCACGAAGAACCCCGAUUGCGAAGGCAGCCUGCCGCAGCGUUACUGACGCUGAAGCUCGAAAGCGCGGGUAUCGAACAGGAUUAGAUACCCGUGUAUAG
Molecule: ribosomal RNA, 466 nt
Filed under: uncultured bacterium
Lineage: Bacteria
Description: bacterial SSU rRNA
Rfam family: Bacterial small subunit ribosomal RNA
Source: RNAcentral